UCCCGAAGCUGCCCCGGGGCCGGGCGGAGCCUCCCGAGCGCCUUUCCCAGCCAGGUGCGGCAGCAGCUGAGGAAAAACGAGGAUCCUUCGUGAAAACAGGGAAGUGCACCUGGAUUUUCAGGGAUGCCCCCACACGGGUGGGAUUCAGAGCUGCUCCUCCAGCUGCAACACCAGGAUGGCCAAACACAGGAAGCAGCUGGGUUCGUCUUUGCCUGAGUGGAGAAUCUGGGGCUCUUUCCUGCUUGGAACAGCUCAGCCUCUUUGUGAAGGAGAGGUGGGAAUGCUGCCCCUUCCCAGGAUGAAGUGAGGAAUAGGGGUGAAUUGCCUCUCUGUGGGCAGGGGGCUGCUCUUGGUGCUGCCCUGGGAUUAAGGAGAUUUUGGGACCCUUGGAGCUGGUUCUGAGCCAGAUAAAGGAUGUCCAGCCCAAGCUGUGUCCCACGUGGAGCUCGUGCUGUGAUUGGGGCUCCUUCCACCUCCUGCAGCCCCAUGGUCUCCUGCUGAUCCUGGAGAGGAAGUUCUGGGAUGGUGCUCAGUGCCUGAAGGGAGCAGGGAGGACGAGCUGUGCCCAACUCCAAACCCCAGGAGCCACCUCUGGUUGCUGCUGUCCACAAACCAUGGAAUUGCUCAGGUUGGAAAAGCCCUCAGAGACCAUAUCCCCAGGUGCCACAGCCACACCCUUCUGGACACUUCCAGGGAUGGGGACUCUGCCCCUGCCCUGGGCAGUCCCUUCCAUUCCUUCACAACCCUUUCCAUGAGAAAUUUUUCCUGAAUCCAACUCAAAUCAUCCCUGAUGCACCUUGAGGCCAUUUUCACUCGUUCCCUGGCAGAUGCCAACCCCACCCUCCUGUCAGGGGGUUGUGGGAGGGAGAAGGUCCCCCCUGAGCCUCCUUUUCCCCAGCUGAGCCUAGGGAGCAGGUUUGGAUAAGGGGAAAGGGAAGGCCCUGGAGCAGGAGCUCAGCCAGUGCCAAGGGAGAGCUGGAAAUGGUUCCUGGAGUUAAAAGUCUCUUUUCCCAGCCCGGCCUUCAAAGAAGGAGUCAGGAUUCCUCAGCUCUCAAGGAAUGGUUCUCAAGGUUGUUUAUUUUCCCUUAUCUAGUACAUUCUUUCUCUGGCCUGCUGAGGUCCGUUCAGCAGCUCAGCCAGAGGCACACUGCCCACCCUUGGGCUGGUGUCAACAUUUUAUACUACAAACUACAUGCACUAUAUUUAGUUAUUUUCCAAUACCUAUCACCUAUGUUAGACAGUGUGUUCCUACCUUAAGCCAAUCCAGAAGUGCCACCAUCACCCAGAAGAUGGAGGCUAGGAAGAAGGAGAAAGGACAAGGCACGCCCAAAUUCCUCCAUCUUGACCUCUGAACCCCCAUUCUAAAAACCCCAAAAUUCUACUUUUCACCUUGUGACAAGCUAACUAUCAUUCUACUUAAACUCUCUUGACUUGUAAUUCUUCAUAUAAAGGUGGUAAUUUUCUCCAUGGGUCAAAAUCAGUCAGAGGUGUCCUGGGCUCUGUGCCAGGGUCUCUGAGCCCCCAGGCAAGGGCUGGAGCCCUCCAGGGCAGCCAGAGGGAUGUCCUGGGUUCUAACACUGGAGGUGUCCAAGGCCAGGCUGCUCCCCCAUUGCAGGGUCUGCUCAGGUGUAAAUCAGACAAACCCCAAAUUCCCUGAGUGCCCCAGGUAGGGCUGGUGUUUCCC
This is a long non-coding RNA of Serinus canaria (Common canary), 1684 nucleotides long. RefSeq lists it as uncharacterized. The transcript is spliced from 4 exons. The record is from RefSeq and is a predicted model, not a curated record. NCBI's taxonomy places the organism in Eukaryota, Metazoa, Chordata, Aves, Passeriformes, Fringillidae.